RNAcentral lists this ribosomal RNA (305 nucleotides) under uncultured bacterium. Its description in RNAcentral is "bacterial SSU rRNA". It matches the Rfam family "Bacterial small subunit ribosomal RNA", at positions 335 to 654 of the family's 1533-position model. The record is from RNAcentral.
CUCCCUACGGGGCGCAGCAGUGGGGAAUAUUGGACAAUGGGGGGAACCCUGAUCCAGCGACGCCGCGUGAGUGAAGAAGUAUUUCGGUAUGUAAAGCUCUAUCAGCAGGGAAGAAAGAAAUGACGGUACCUGACUAAGAAGCCCCGGCUAACUACGUGCCAGCAGCCGCGGUAAUACGUAUGGUGCAAGCGUUAUCCGGAUUUACUGGGUGUAAAGGGAGCGUAGGCGGCGCGUUAAGUCUGAUGUGAAAACCCGAGGCUCAACCACGGGAGUGCAUUGGAAACUGGCGGGCUGGAGUGCCGGAG